GUCCGAGUGGUGUAGUGGUUUGAGCAUUGGACUGUUACUCUGGGGACCAGGAUUGGAAUCCCCACUUGGAUA
Non-coding RNA from Phrynosoma platyrhinos (Desert horned lizard), 72 nucleotides. The record is from the annotation of a GenBank genome assembly. Lineage: Eukaryota; Metazoa; Chordata; Lepidosauria; Squamata; Phrynosomatidae.